ACGGGGAGCGCAGAGGCUGAGAGAACACCCAUCGAACCUGAUCUGGGCCAUACUAGCGAAGGGAUCGUCA
RNAcentral lists this non-coding RNA (70 nucleotides) under uncultured Brevibacterium sp. Lineage: Bacteria; Bacillati; Actinomycetota; Actinomycetes; Micrococcales; Brevibacteriaceae. The record is from RNAcentral.